RNAcentral lists this ribosomal RNA (459 nucleotides) under uncultured bacterium. RNAcentral describes it as "partial 16S ribosomal RNA". It matches the Rfam family "Bacterial small subunit ribosomal RNA", at positions 338 to 795 of the family's 1533-position model. The record is from RNAcentral.
CCUACGGGAGGCAGCAGUGAGGAAUAUUGGGCAAUGGGAGAGAUCCUGAACCAGCCAAGCCGCGUGAGGGAAGAAGGCCCUAUGGGUUUUAAACCUCUUGUGUCGGAGAACAAAACCCGGGACGUGUCCCGGACUGCGUGUAUCCGAAGAAAAAGCAUCGGCUAACUCCGCGCCAGCAGCCGCGGUAAUACGGAGGGUGCGAGCGUUAUCCGGAUGUAGUUGGUUGAAAGGGUGCGUAGGCGGUCCGUUAAGUCAGCGGUAAAAUUGCGGGGCUCAACCCCGUCGAGCUGUUGAAACUGGCAGACUUGAGUUGGCGAGAAGUAGGCGGAAUGCGCGGUGUAGAGGUGAAAUGCAUAGAUAUCGCGCAGAACUCCGAUUGCGAAGGCAGCGUACCGGAGCCAGACUGACGCUGAGGCACGAAAGCGUGGGGAUCGAACAGGAUUAGAUACCCGGGUAGUC